This is a long non-coding RNA of Pseudopipra pipra, 5390 nucleotides long. RefSeq lists it as uncharacterized. The record is from RefSeq and is a predicted model, not a curated record. The transcript has 2 exons. Lineage: Eukaryota; Metazoa; Chordata; Aves; Passeriformes; Pipridae.
CCCGCACUGCCCUCCGAGCGCCCCCGGCCCCUGCCCACAGGCAUCUGGCGAGGCGGCACACGGCGGGACACGGGGCGAGCGACGGUGCGGCGGGGAGAAUAAUAAAUCUGCCAUCUGUACCCGAGGGAAUGGCCUGAAGCUGUGUCAGGGGAGGUUUGGGUUAGAUAUUAGAAAAAAGUUCUUCAGCCGAACAGGCUUCCCAGGGAAGUGGUCACAGCGCCAAGCCUGGAUGAGUUCAAGGAGCGUUUGGACAAUGCUUUCAGGCACAUGGGAUUCUUGGGGAUGUCCUGUGCAGGGCUAAGAGGUGGACUCAGUGAUUCUUGUGGGUCCCUUCCAACUCAGGAUAUUUUAUGAUUCUGUCAUUCCCUUCAGGAUAGCGACCUGGCAGUUGGGUCACCGUGCUGUGCUGCCUGCUGCCCCACAGGACAGCUGACAGGCUAAAGGUGGACAUCACUUUUGGGGUUAGCAGGCUCCAUCACGGCUUCAGGAGGUUAUGGGGCCUGAGUCCUUGCUGGGACAAAACACUCAUGGGGACUGUUUCAGCACACCUUGGAAACUAAUCAUGAAGCCAAGGAAGACAGCAGCAGCCAGCCAGAUCUCUGUGCCUCUUGGGAUGACCAAGUUCUUUGCUGUGAGAGUGGUGAGGUUGCCCAGAAAAGCUGUGGAUGUCUCAUCCCUGGAAAUGUUCCAAGGCCAGGCUGGAUGGGGCUCUGAGAAACCUGGUCUGGGGUAAGGUGUCCCUGCAUUUGGCAGUGGGGUUGGAGCUAGAUGACCUUUAAUGUCCCUUCCAACCCAAACCAUUUUAUGAUUCUAUGACAUCCACAGGUGCAACACUACCAAGGAGAGAGGAUAAGAUCUCCAGGGGAAUAUAUUUGUAGGAACCUCCCUUACUGCUCACAGACACCCAGCACUUGCCAAUAUGAGACACAGUGAGUGUGAAGUUACCAGCUCUGCACCAAGGGCUCACAGGAGCUGGCAGAGCACAAAUUCACAGUUAUCAGAGAUGAUCAGCGUGCCUACAAGGAUGCUACCAGGAGCAUGUAGGGCUAAUGAGGACAUUGUGUACAUAGAGGAAGCGACAAUUAUGCGGAGUCGUGAUGAACAGCCCAGAAACCUCACAGUUGUUCAUGCACCUGAAAACAAGAGGAGCUUGUUAUCACAGUCAGGGACCUGGAUCCCAAGCAUGCCAUGCCAUAGAUGUACUGGUAGUACCAUCCCCUGGCAAAGAAGAGGUUAACACUGUCCAUCUUUGUGCGGUGUCUUAGGAGGACUGCAAUCACCCAUUUUUAUUUUUGGUUCUGCUGCAUAAAAACAACUGCUCUUUGUAACCUGCAUGGCGCAAAGGACCCAUUUCUUCCGGCAGCAUUUAAGAGAGGGCAUAAAAAAAGGAAGCAGAGGAAGAAAGUUCACAUUCAGUGAGUGCCAGGUUGUCAAGGUUUCCUCUGCUUUCAGACACAAAUUUUUUCUUCUGACAGACACAAGAGAGAUUUAAAACUGUUCGGCACAGAGUGGAGCUUCAAAAUCAGCAGUGUCUGUGUCUGAUACAAGACGAAGAGCAGAGCUCAGGACCUCCUGUACAAGGCAAUUUUGUUGUCAUCAUGGCAUACAUGGGGGCAUUAUACCAAAUUUGUGUUUGGCUCAUCACAAAGCUCACUCUGUGUGAGUCUCAAAAUUCUGUGCUGCUUUCAGCCUGGCUGCCAGAGUGGCCGUGGGUUGGUUCAGCCCUGCAAGGACGUGGGUCAAGUUCAGCCUGCUGCAAAGAAAGAGGCUUUCAUGAGGUUGCGUUUUUCAGCUUCCUUCCCCAUUUUUAUUGUUUUCUGUUUCAAUAAAUCAUGGAGUGCCGGUGAAAUCCCCAAGCACCUGAUGGGUGCGGUUAUUAAACCAACACUUAAAAAAGCCAGAUUAGGCAAGCUUGGGCACUGCUCCCUUGGCCUGGUGGCCAUAUAUGUUAUGCCUCUUGGGCCAUACAUGAGUAUCAGAACAUUGGUAGACAAUUUAGCUGAUAAAUAUUGAAGAGGCAGUAACAUAAUUAGCACUGGUCAACAUUGUUUUCUGGAAAAAUCAAUCUCAACUGAACCUGAUCUCAUUCUCCAUUGGGACCACAGGAUGUGUUGCCAAAGGUAGUGACACAGAGGCACUAGGGGAGACAUUCAGCAUCUGACUGCUGAGAGUACAGCCAAACAGUAUGAAUAAAAUGAACAGAUUAACAGCUAGCCACUGGUUUGGAUGCUGGGAAUCACCCAGAAACCACUGACCCAGCAGGUCUGGUUUCAUUUUCUGUGCAGAUACUUGAUACUACAGAAGUGAGAGAGGAUGUAGAUGCAGCUGGGGACUGAAUGGGAUGUGAGAAAAGGACAGCUUUAACCCCAUCCUCAGCUCUGUUGCCCCUGAAAGUUCAAGGCUGCAAGACCACGCAGGUGAACCAGCGUACAUAGUCCCCUCUGGCCAGUGCUCCUUGGAAACAGCCCGUUCUUCUUAGUAGCUAUUUGAUUCAAAUGCCUUAACAAAUAGUAGGAGGAAAGUCCUUGAUGCUCAAGGUACACAGGUGUGUGUUAAAAAAAAAAAAAAAAAGGAGAAUUUUCCUCCCUUUGUAAGGGACUUUUAGAGCUGCAGGGUUGACCCUGGAGUGCUAAUGGCUAACAUGUCAUGAACUGGCUUACAAAAUGGCCCAGCUCCUGCAACACAUCCUGCAGGACUGGCAACCUCCAGUAAACACCAGCAUCUCACCAGUGCCUAGCACUCAUGAAGCUCCAGCCUCAGGGCUGCCUGACACCCAGCAGCCCCCGUUCCACCCGCCUGUCCGCAGCGUGUCCCACAGCAGCAGUGCCUCGGCUCCUUUGGCAGCCAACACAGGCUCCCACACUCAGCACAGAGAGCACAAGGGAAAGCAAUGUUAUGCCUUGCACGCUUAUCUCCUGCAGAAAACAGCAAGGCACUUUUGUUUAUUGAGUGCCGAUGAAUGGCGCUGUCUUGGCUGUGAGAUCGGUCUCCAGAUCUCACUCUGAGCACAGCUGCUGGCAGGGAGCCCACAGCUGCAGCCACUUAUUGCCCCAGGAGCCUUUCAGCAGGGCUUUCCUCCUCUUCCCAGGGAGAAAAUGGCCCACGGCAUCCCACAAUAUGCAUCUCUCCCUGUGCAGAGGUGGCACUGGAUUUAUGGGCCACUGCAGGAUAGGGAACAUCACUCCUUCCCCCUGUGGUGUGUGGCCACAUAAUGCCAAACAGUGCAGUUUGCUCCAGGACCUUUCGGUGUUCCUCACCCUCCACAGCUCAUUCGUUCUUCUGCCCUUUCAGCAGAUAACUACGGGAAACCUGGAGCCACAUUAGGCUGCUUUGCUGUUUCUUGGUGGCAGAAAGGUGGGAUGGGUCCAUCCUGCCAGGAUGGAGGGGGAAGUGGACACUAAGGACAUUGCUAUCCUGCCAUGGGUGAAACAGCUUGACCUCAGGGAGAGUCAAAGUUUUCCAGGCUUGCCACCUCACAAAGAUCUGUUGCCACCUCCUUCAGAGCCAUGUUAUUUUGAGACCCCAAAAAGCUGAUGGAUCCAUCUGUGACUGCCUCUGCCCUCCAGCCAUCAUUGAUACACAGCAGUUGACACAAAAUAGUCUGUCUUUGCAGCAAGAUUUCCUUUUCCCUGCCCUGACUGCAACCCAGUCAUCUGUUGUAAGGGAUUUUUGAGAGGGAGACACUGUUUUCUUGCUCCUCUCAAUGCACCAGCUUGAAAGCUUUGCCGGGAUUGUCACUCAGCCCGAUGCUCCUGCAACAUAUGAAGGAUGUGUCAGACCCCAGGAGACAGAAACUUGCAGAGUUGAGAGGGAGCAGCUACAACCAGUGUCACAACCCAUGCUUGUUCUCAGCUCUGGCCUUGGGAAGAUGAUAAAGAAUUAUAAGGAUUUCCAUUUUUCUCCAACCUGGAGGUAAGAAAACAAAAAACAUUUUUCCCAAACAACUGCUGAUUCCAGAAGGAAUGAAGUCUUCCAAGGACUUGGCUGAAGAAGCAGCAAGGUGAAGAUUUAUACUUAAGCUUAUGUCCUCACCCAGCUAACCUGUUAUUACCUCCCUCAUCCAGCUUUCCUACUUCUCUCAAAAUAACAUGCUUUCCAUUGACUCUCAUCCAGCUCAAAUAUUUGCUUCCAGGUCAGCUAAAGGAAAGAGCAUUGGACAAUUGCUCUGAUUUCCUGCCAGCACCUCCAGAUCCUCAGCUGGGCACUUGGUGUCACUUCAAGGAGAAAACCAGAUGCCAGUAAGGUGGCCUGGCCCAGCGGCUGCCACUCAGCAAUGAGACUGGAAAUAGAAGUACUUGUCUGGGGUAGUUCCUUAACUUUCCUUAAGUUAUCAGCUUUUCAAAUCCUGAAGAGCCAUUUUACUGACGAUACUGUUUGAUAUCUCCUGUUGCCUGGCCUAGUUGCAGCCCAUACCACGUGCAACCUAAACACCUGGCAGUAAUCUCUCUCUCUCCUGGAACCAAUCUAUCUGUUACCUGGAAGAGCUGUAGCUCUGCUGAUGCCUGGAUGAGCCCUUCAUAAGAGUCCAGCCUACCCUAUCCCUUAUUCCAGCAUUGCCUAAUUCAGCUGUGGCCUGGCCAUCACAAAUGGAAAGCUAAGUGUAGCCUAGCUUCAUCUCAUAGCUGUGGAUGCUGCCUUAUGCCACCUGUAGACUUCCUUAGCCUAUUUUGCCUAGACAAAAGCCUUCUGCACUUUCACCACAGGCCGGGCUCCACCUGAGCCCCAGACAUAUGCUCAGCUCAUGUCCUGAACGUUGUGUUUCCCAGCUUAGCCCCGCUGCAGCAAAGCCAAGCUCCAGGGACACCAUUAACUCGGCUGCAGUCUGUCCUGCACUUUGCAGCCAGCAGUAUCCAAACAGGGGCCCUUCUCCCAUUUCUGCACAGCACAGCCAAGCUCACCAGUAUCUUUCUGCCAGCAGGAUUAAAGGGACCUGUCUCUGUCUAACUUCCUGAGGCAUUUAUGGAUUAGUAGACUGUGAUGUGGAACAGUUGAGUGCUUAUUUUAUUCCCAGUGAGAGCAAUACGCCCAAAUGCAUCUCUCCAAAACUGGAGGAAAGAACAAAUAACUCAUUGUAACACAUCGAAAUUACAGACAAGAACAUAUGACACAGAAUACAAGAGAAAAGGUACAUUCAAAAGAGAACUGAUGACUUGAACCCAACAUAAGACUUGAGGGGAGCACCUAAGAAAUCAAAUCUGAGGAAGUCCCUAGGCCCAAGGUGGCAAAUCAAGUCUGUAAGUCAUUGUCCAGUGCUCUGGACUGGACACUAAGCACCCUGUGGACUGAGAUGUUAGAAUGGCCUUAAAUAAAAAAAAAAAGCAGAAUGAUUUGAUGCCUCUCUUUAAAUAAUAGUGACGGCAGGUCUGAAACAGCAUCAGGGAAGCCACCAA